AGCGAACGCUGGCGGCAGGCUUAACACAUGCAAGUCGAGCGGGCCCUUCGGGGUCAGCGGCAGACGGGUGAGUAACGCGUGGGAACGUGCCCUUCGGUUCGGAAUAACUCAGGGAAACUUGAGCUAAUACCGGAUACGCCCUUAUGGGGAAUGGUUUACUGCCGAAGGAUCGGCCCGCGUCUGAUUAGCUAGUUGGUGAGGUUAUGGCUCACCAAGGCGACGAUCAGUAGCUGGUCUGAGAGGAUGAUCAGCCACACUGGGACUGAGACACGGCCCAGACUCCUACGGGAGGCAGCAGUGGGGAAUAUUGGACAAUGGGGGCAACCCUGAUCCAGCCAUGCCGCGUGAGUGAUGACGGCCUUAGGGUUGUAAAGCUCUUUUCCCCGGGACGAUAAUGACGGUACCGGAGGAAUAAGCCCCGGCUAACUUCGUG
Molecule: ribosomal RNA, 433 nt
Filed under: uncultured bacterium
Lineage: Bacteria
Description: partial 16S ribosomal RNA
Rfam family: Bacterial small subunit ribosomal RNA
Source: RNAcentral